GAGUUUGAUCCUGGCUCAGGAUGAACCCUGGCGGCGUGCCUAACACAUGCAAGUCGAACGGAGUUACAGUGAAACCUAGUGAUCUGUAACUUAGUGGCGGACGGGUGAGUAACGCGUGGGUAACCUGCCUUGUACUGGGGGAUAACACCUGGAAACAGGUGCUAAUACCGCAUAAGCGCACAGAGCCGCAUGGCUCAGUGUGAAAAACUCCGGUGGUACAAGAUGGACCCGCGUCUGAUUAGCCAGUUGGGGGGGUAACGGCCCACCAAAGCGACGAUCAGUAGCCGGCCUGAGAGGGUGAACGGCCACAUUGGGACUGAGACACGGCCCAAACUCCUACGGGAGGCAGCAGUGGGGAAUAUUGCACAAUGGGGGAAACCCUGAUGCAGCAACGCCGCGUGAGUGAAGAAGUAAUUCGUUAUGUAAAGCUCUAUCAGCAGGGAAGAAAAUGACGGUACCUGAGUAAGCAGCCCCGGCUAACUACGUGCCAGCAGCCGCGGUAAUACGUAGGGGGCAAGCGUUAUCCGGAUUUACUGGGUGUAAAGGGAGCGUAGACGGUUAUGCAAGUCUGAAGUGAAAUGCCAGUGCUCAACACUGGAACUGCUUUGGAAACUGUGUAACUGGAGUGCAGGAGAGGUAAGUGGAAUUCCUAGUGUAGCGGUGAAAUGCGUAGAUAUUAGGAGGAACACCAGUGGCNGAGGCGGCUUACUGGACUGUA
Molecule: ribosomal RNA, 718 nt
Filed under: uncultured bacterium
Lineage: Bacteria
Description: bacterial SSU rRNA
Rfam family: Bacterial small subunit ribosomal RNA
Source: RNAcentral